RNAcentral lists this ribosomal RNA (448 nucleotides) under uncultured bacterium. RNAcentral's name for it is "bacterial SSU rRNA". It matches the Rfam family "Bacterial small subunit ribosomal RNA", at positions 28 to 496 of the family's 1533-position model. The record is from RNAcentral.
GAUGAACGCUGGCGGCGCGCCUAACACAUGCAAGUCGAACGGCACCCACCCUCGGGUGGAAGCGAGUGGCGAACGGCUGAGUAACACGUGGAGAACCUGCCCCCUCCCCCGGGAUAGCCGCCCGAAAGGACGGGUAAUACCGGAUACCCCGGGGUGCCGCAUGACACCCCGGCUAAAGCCCCGACGGGAGGGGAUGGCUCCGCGGCCCAUCAGGUAGACGGCGGGGUGACGGCCCACCGUGCCGACAACGGGUAGCCGGGUUGAGAGACCGACCGGCCAGAUUGGGACUGAGACACGGCCCAGACUCCUACGGGAGGCAGCAGUGGGGAAUCUUGCGCAAUGGGGGGAACCCUGACGCAGCGACGCCGCGUGCGGGACGGAGGCCUUCGGGUCGUAAACCGCUUUCAGCAGGGAAGAGUCAAGACUGUACCUGCAGAAGAAGCCCCGG